AUUGAACGCUGGCGGCAGGCCUAACACAUGCAAGUCGAGCGGAUGAAGGGAGCUUGCUCCUGGAUUCCGCGGCGGACGGGUGAGUAAUGCCUAGGAAUCUGCCUGGUAGUGGGGGAUAACGUCCGGAAACGGGCGCUAAUACCACAUACGUCCUGAGGGAGAAGGUGGGGGGUCUUCGGACCUCACGCUAUCAGAUGAGCCUAGGUCGGAUUAGCUAGUUGGUGGGGUAAAGGCCUACCAAGUCGACGAUCCGUAGCUGGUCUGAGAGGAUGAUCAGUCACACUGGAACUGGGACACGGUCCAGACUACUACGGGAGGCAGCAGUGGGGAAUAUUGGACAAUGGGCGAAAGCCUGACCCAGCCAUGCCGCGUGUGUGAAGAAGGUCUUCGGAUUGUAAAGCACUUUAAGUUGGGAGGAAGGGCAGUAAGUUAAUACCUUGCUGUCUUGACGUUACCAACAGAAUAAGCACCGGCUAACUUCGUG
RNAcentral lists this ribosomal RNA (484 nucleotides) under uncultured bacterium. RNAcentral describes it as "partial 16S ribosomal RNA". It matches the Rfam family "Bacterial small subunit ribosomal RNA", at positions 30 to 507 of the family's 1533-position model. The record is from RNAcentral.